Molecule: long non-coding RNA, 556 nt
Organism: Anolis carolinensis (green anole)
Lineage: Eukaryota; Metazoa; Chordata; Lepidosauria; Squamata; Anolidae
Exons: 2
Source: RefSeq, a predicted model, not a curated record
GAGGAGAAGCCCCUGUCAGGAGGAAGCAAGCAAGGAAGGAGGCACGUUGGAAGGCAACAACAACAAGCAACCCACGAAAGAGACCGGCAUCUCACAACCCAUGGGACAAAAACAAGGAAACAACUCCCAGCACGUAGGGCAUCAUCAGAGGUAAGAUCUACAGAGAUACUCGCAGGAACAUCACCCGGAACCUCAACCCAUGGCUGAUUCCAAAUGAGAGCACACAAGACUGGACGACUUGGAAGACGUUGAACACAGAGAGCUCUGGCACCAGGAGAUGAAAAGCCAACCUUAGGAAAUGGAGCUACUGAGUGGAGUCUACUACGACAUGCGAGUGUGGAGAAGAGCCAACCACAGGCCACCUACUACAAUGCAGCCUGAGCCCAGCCACAGGCACAAUGGAGGACCUUCUUAUUGCCACACCAGAGGCACUCCAUGUGGCCAGCUACUGGUCAAAGGACAUUUAGUAUCAUGCCAAGUUUUUAAUUUUGUGUUUUUAGAUACAACUGUACCCACGGUUCUCUUCUGACACGAUAAAUAAAUAAUCCUCAGAGGU